GGACGACCGCUGGCGGCGUGCUUAACACAUGCAAGUCGAACGGAAAGGCCCUGCUUUUGUGGGGUGCUCGAGUGGCGAACGGGUGAAUAACACGUGAGUAACCUGCCCUUGACUUUGGGAUAACUUCAGGAAACUGGGGCUAAUACCGGAUAGGAGCUCCUGCUGCAUGGUGGGGGUUGGAAAGUUUCGGCGGUUGGGGAUGGACUCGCGGCUUAUCAGCUUGUUGGUGGGGUAGUGGCUUACCAAGGCUUUGACGGGUAGCCGGCCUGAGAGGGUGACCGGCCACAUUGGGACUGAGAUACGGCCCAGACUCCUACGGGAGGCAGCAGUGGGGAAUAUUGCACAAUGGGCGGAAGCCUGAUGCAGCAACGCCGCGUGCGGGAUGACGGCCUUCGGGUUGUAAACCGCUUUCGCCUGUGACGAAGCGUGAGUGACGGUAAUGGGUAAAGAAGCACCGGCUAACUAUGUG
RNAcentral lists this ribosomal RNA (469 nucleotides) under uncultured bacterium. RNAcentral's name for it is "partial 16S ribosomal RNA". It matches the Rfam family "Bacterial small subunit ribosomal RNA", at positions 27 to 507 of the family's 1533-position model. The record is from RNAcentral.